AUCAAUCAACCAUUUAUUGAGUCCAGAUGUGGUACAGCCCCAGCCGGAGAUGACCCAGAGGUGGCGUGGGGAGGAGAGAGAUGGGGAAGCCGAGUCCAGGGCCACAGGUGCAGCCAGGAGGGGCAGGUGAGCAGCGCUCAGGCCGGCCUGUCAGCCUCAGUCCUGAGCUUGCUUCUGGUGGUGGAGGGAGAUAUACAGAAAAGAUCCUGCAGCCUGCAGGUGUGGCACAGCUGAUCUCGGGCCAAGGAUGCACAGCUGUGUGUGUGCCUGGCCACCGGCAAGGGCACGCGUGCUCAGAAGCACAGGUGUGCCCACACCCUGCGUGCCUGUGUGUGGCGCAGCAGCUCCCGACUCGCGCACGACACACACACAGCACAGACAGACCCUCCCAUGGCCACAUGGACAAAGAUGGCUUCACCACAGACACCGGUGCAGACAGGAUGUGCACUGCUUUCCAAGGCCUGUGCGCAACACAGACCCAGGGCCUGCGGGCAGCAGCACCGCACAGACCCAGGCACACAUGAUCCUCAGCCAAGGUGGCCUGUCCAGUGCCAGGGUCCAGUCCUGGUGCUGCUGGACGGAAAGGCUAACCCGGGAGGUCAGGGGUCAUGGUAAAUCAGCUGGGCUCCCUCAGAUGCUCCUGCAGAAGUGGCCAGGACCUCAGGAACGCACCUGCUCCUGGUCAGACAGGAGGGGCUGCCGCACUGCAACUUGCCCGCGCCUUUGGGUGCUGUGAGCUGGCUGUGCACCACAUCGUUUCAAGGACACAAGAAGGUGUUUCCAAGUCCAGUCUGUCCACCGACCUGAACCUUUACCAUUGAAAGAACAAAGGGGUGGGGCCCAGGGGACCCUUCCCUGCCCUCCCAUGGUGUGUAAUCAGGGAUGCUCCUGCAGACACACAGGUGGGCUCUGACUGCCAGAUCGCAGGGGCGGUGCCAUGGUCCUCACCUGCCAUGUCACUAGUGUGCUGACACGCACACCAGCGAGAGAGAGAGUGCUAGGACCGGCACAUCCCAGACAAUUCCUCUGUAAAUGGUGCAGCAGCCAGAGGCCCCGGCACCUUGAGGCUAAGCAAAGGGAAAGAAUAGAGUUCUCCAGAACCCCAAGGAGCGGGAGGGUCUGUCCCAAUGGAUGGGCUCAGCCAAUUUCACCUUCUCCUCCCCCUGCCAACACUGCGGCCUGCAGCCUGGACCUGGCCCGGGUUGUGGAGGGGACCAGAGGAUGCAGCUGCCACCUGCUGGGUGGACGUGGGCCUAGGUGGUCCUCAGCGCUCAUGGCAGGAGCCCCCGAAGCACUGUUGCGACACCCUCUCUGACACUGGGUCGGAGACUCUGGGAGCCGAGUGCAGAGCCAGGGCCCAGCACGCAGGCCUUGGGCUCCAGUCCCUGUCCCCCACAUCUGGAAUGUGCCAGCAGGGCCCAGUGCGAGAGAAGAGCAGAUCCCUACGUGAGUGAGGGUGGAGGAAUGGUGCCUCUGCCAUGGCCACGGUGCCGCCGUCCACAUCAGCUCACUCUCAGCACAGAUGCUGUGUGAAGGCCUCGGGCCACGCCGCUUGUUCUGAGGGCCCCAGCGGGUCGGGCUCUUGCUGUGCUGGCUGCACAUUGACUAGCUGGUGAGCUUGGCGGGUCUGUGGGCACAGAGAGACCAGAACCCGCAUAACAGGCCCAAUGAGGAUGCCAGGCUGCAGAGGAGAGGGGCACCAGCCAGGGGCCCUGCACAGACAGCUUCAGGUGCAAGGAGCUGGAGCCCAGGCCAGCUGGGGAGGGGCAGGGUGCGGUGGCUGGAAGUCGCUAUUCUCAGACCCGGUUCUAAGACCCUCUCCAACUGCAUGGGGGGGGGGGUCCAGGCUGGACCCCAGAUGUGACGGUGUAUGUGCUGGGAUGGGAGUCCCCUGAGAACAGGGCUUUUGUUAAUUCACCAGCAAUCCCACAAGUCUGGCACGAGAUAGGUGGUCAGUUAGUGAAGACCACACGCAGGGGGUCUUCCACUGUGUCCAGGGGAGGGUGGGCCCUGCUCACAGCCAGACUGGGUACAGCUCCAGGUGGGCUCCGGGGCUCGCCCAGGGCAGCUCAGCCUCCUAGCCCUGGGCAGCCCUGCUGCCUGCCUUCCUGUCCCUGGUGCUCUGUAGGAGUCUGACCACAGGUAUCCUCUUCAUCAGAGAGAGGAAAGCUCACAACGUGGGAGAACUCCAGGCCUGGCCCAGCGAAGACGUCCUUGUCUUCAGCAGACGUUGCCCAGUGCAAGGGGAGGUCAGUCUCAGGAGACAGUCUCACGCUCAGUGGCGUGGUGUCUGUCCUAAGGCCUUGCCUGCAGCACAGGGUGCCACAGAGGUCCCCUGUGACAGAGCCUCAUGGCUGGGGCAGGCAGGGGUCACACCUGCUCCUGCACGAAGAGGCAGAUACAGACCCAUGGAGUGGUCUCUGGGGUCCCACAUCCCAGGUGGAGAAUGACCCACGUCGCUGGCGUCUGUGUCAUCUCUGCUCCACUGACCACUCAUGGGGGUCCUAGAGAUCCUGACGCUGGUGGCCGGGGAGCAGCAGCCCAGGCACAGGCCCCAGUGCACACGCAGAUCCUACCAUGUCUGCACAAGGCCUUGCCCCCACGAGGCCUGGGCGCCGUGUGAGGGCCGGGACGCUAACACAGCGGAGGGUACCCACGCGUGAGCUGUUCUGGGGUCCCUCCCCAUGUUUCUUCGGGUAAUGAAACUUGUACCUAAAUGGGAUAUGCAGGGUUCCACUGUGCAGUUGGUAUGUAUUUUAGGAUCUCAUCCCCGUGUGCCCCAGCAGGACCACAGCUGUGACCGGCUGCUCCAGAAGAAGUGGGUGGGUUGAGACCCCACCGGCCGGGUCACUGGGGGCAGCAGGCCCUCUGUCAGCACUGAGUUCUGUGUCAUGUCAGGGAUUUUCAGGGCGGCAAGCUUAGGUGGACAGGCAGUUUUAUUCUGUUUCCCAUGUCAAGUCCAGCUCCAGACUGACUUUCUGAGGUCACAGACGGAGCCUCACCCCAUCCAAGGCGGUGUCCUGGACUCCCACUGUGCUCCCCAGAGGGCAGGGUGAGUGCGUGGCAUCCUUUUGGCGGGCGUGGGUGCCUCUGUGGACCUGGCGUGAGGCUUCUCUGUUUCUGAGUCUCUUAUGGACCAUCUGUCUUCUGUGUGGCUGCUGAGGAAUCACACUGAGGUGGCCGUGCAGGUGGCUGAAUGAGAACAGGACCGCCAUGCUGCACAGCCCUGUGUGACCCCGGGGAUGGCCCCAGAAGCGAGUGGGCAAGGCUGGGCAGCAGGGAUUGGCUGAAAUCAUCUUCAGAGCCCAAGGUGCAGGGGAAAGGUGGCAAUUCCAGGGUCCCUUUGUUCGCCAGGUACCUGGGGCCCAGCCCGGGCAGCAGGAGGGACUCAGCCCCUCACCCAGGGAGGAAGGGUCCCAAGCAGAGGCCCCUCCUUCCUGUACUCCCCAGCCCACACCUGCAGCACUGGGACCAAGAUUAAUAAAACACCCGCCUCACGGAAGACAGCUUUAUCUUGUUGAUCGGAAGUCUGCCAGCCCAAUUUAUGAUGGAACAUAAGAUCUCCAAAUCUGAAUUUAUGCGCUGUAGGGUAACGAGAGGUCAAUAAGAUUAAACGGGGGCUCAGGAGAGGACCAGCGUCAGGCUCACUGCGAGGUGCUGCACAGAAAACCCACAGCCAGAGCCCCUGGGCCCAGCCCAGGCAAGACCAGAAAGGGAGGGGGCAGGUGGGAGACCAGCCUGGGGCUCCCGGGAAGCCUACGGGAUGGAAGCGGGAGAGCCAGGAGGCCUGGGGCAACCCUGGGACGGUUCCUGGAUCGAGGAGAGCAGGGGGGUGAUGAGGGUUCCCUCAGGGCUGGGGAGCCUUCUCCUGGUCUCAGACCCACCCCCCCUUCAGCUCCCAAGCCCUGGGUGCCCCUGGCUCAGAACAGUUGGGAAUCUUCCCUGAGGCAGGUUCAAGGACAGAGCUCUGACCCUGGCCCAGGGCUGCUUUGGGUGCCCAUGAACUUGGCUUCUGGCUCAGAGCAGUUCCCUGCACCCAUUCCUGAGCCCUCUGUCCUCUGGAACCCAUGGGCAGGGUGAGGGACGGGUGCUCCGUCUGGGUGGGGGCCUGGGCGCCCAGCCAGCACGAGGCUGGCUUGCUGAGCUUAGGGCAGACCCCGACUUCAGAAUUUAUACAAAUAAACGCAAUGAAAAGUGCUGGCAGCCUGA
This 4209-nucleotide small RNA is filed under the name Pongo abelii (Sumatran orangutan). Its description in RNAcentral is "retained intron". The record is from RNAcentral. Lineage: Eukaryota; Metazoa; Chordata; Mammalia; Primates; Hominidae.